GAUGAACGCUGGCGGCGUGCCUAAUACAUGCAAGUCGAGCGAACAGACGAGGAACUUGCUCCUCUGACGUUAGCGGCGGACGGGGGAGUAACACGUGGAUAACCUACCUAUAAGACUGGGAUAAAUUCGGGAAACCGGAGCCAAUACCGGCUAAUAUAUUGAACAGCAUGGAUCAAUAGUGAAAGGCGGUUUUGCUGUCAAUUAUAGAUGGAUCCGCGCCGCAUUAGGUAGUCGGUAAGGUAACGGCGCACAACGGCGACGGUUCGUAGCUGAUCAGGGAGGAUGACCAGCCACCCUGGAACUGAGCCACGGUCCAGCCUCCUCCGGGUGGCAGCAGUGGGGAAUAUUGCACAAUGGGCGGAAGCCUGAUGCAGCGAUGCCGAGUGUAUAAAGAAGGCCUUCGGGUUGUAAAGCACUUUAAGAGGGGAGGAAGGGAGUAAAGUUAAUACCUUUGCUCAUUGACGUUACCCGAAGAAGAAGCACCGGCUAACUCCGUG
Molecule: ribosomal RNA, 497 nt
Filed under: uncultured bacterium
Lineage: Bacteria
Description: partial 16S ribosomal RNA
Rfam family: Bacterial small subunit ribosomal RNA
Source: RNAcentral